This 215-nucleotide long non-coding RNA is filed under the name Homo sapiens (human). RNAcentral's name for it is "non-protein coding lnc-C22orf15-4:1". Lineage: Eukaryota; Metazoa; Chordata; Mammalia; Primates; Hominidae. The record is from RNAcentral.
GGUCCCACCGCGCCGGUUGUCGCCGCGCGAAGCCGCCCGGGCCCCGGGACACAAGGACCCGAAUCAGGAGAGUCUCUCCAGUCGGCAUGGUGGCUCUGGCCGUCCCCGAAGCGCGUGCUGGACGUGGGGGAAACAGAGAUGGGCAGGCGUUGGCAGGAGAGCAGAGGAGGAAACAGGUCCGGACGGGCGGGCCGACCUCGAGCCGCCGGCACUCG